UCAGGACCUGUAUGUAGUGACCUUGAUGUAGUGACCCCUGUAACCUCUGUAGCUGAGUUAUAGUGACGCUUGUGACCUGAAAUCGAGUCACUUGCUUAUAUCAAAGACGCAGCGUUUAGGAUUCUACAUUAUUAUCCUUUACAAAGCUUCGAAACUUCAGACCACUUCGCUAGUUUAUAUUUAAAGUCUCGUGCAUUUGUGUAUUAAAUGAUGCGAUUGAUGGAACGGUACGCUUGUUAUCCUCACUACACCGGGACACGAAGCGACAAGGACCAAGGAUAAAAACCCGAGUGAUAAAUGGACACAAGUGCUUCGGUGGGACAGUUCGGAACAGUUUCAAGACUCGAGUUCGAAGCUUAACGAACCACAUGCCAUCCUGCGGUCAGUCACCUCCGAAAUGCGACGAGGGACAUACAAGUGCGCCUUUCCAGCCGCUGCAGCCCCUCCUACCAGCCUUCCCAGCCUUUGAAAAUCCUUCCUUCCUUCUAACCGCCCCUUCCAACCCUUCCUCUCAGCCCUUUCCAGCCCCAUACCUUUCCCCGUGACAUGAUUUUCCAGCGUGUCUUGUACUGAGGGGAUUGUGAAGGGAGCAGUGGCGGUGGCGGUGGCUGGCCUGGUGUGCGGCGCGGCUGGACAGUGUUUGGACCGCGGGGUGCCGGGUGCAUGGCGGCCGAUGCGGCGGUGAGGUGACGGCACCGCGGCCGCGCGUGGCACCCGCACCGAGGAAGGGUUCCAGAAAACUGAUGUGGAUCACAUGAUGAGUUCACCGAAAAAAAAAAAAAAAAAAAAAAAAAAACAGCAAAUGAGUGAGUUUCAGCUGAAGACUGUACACUAUGGGGCACUGCUGCUGCUCCCAGGCUGCCUCAGCACAGCAGCCGGGGGAUCAGGUUCUUCCAAAAGUAACUGCCACUCAGCAGUUCCACUCUCGGUAGAAUAAUAAUCUACAAAUGUUUUUCAGCUUCGGUAAAUACAGCCAAGGUUGCACUGUGGCUCACAACAGACAAGAACACAGCGCUGGGCACCUGUGAGGAGGGGUUGGUGACUGGAAGCCCCGCACGGGUGAGGGUGACCGCGACCUGUACCUAUUGAUCGGGUACUCCUCCGGCCUGAGGUGGAACCCUUCCUCGGAGGCCAUGGAUCCUCUCCUGGACGCCUGCUUCACCACCUCUGCCAGCUCCAGGCCCACCUUCAGGAUUAGGAAACAUUAAAACUGUGUGCUCUCGGCGCCCUGAGCCAGCCUACAGCGAGGCAGCUGGGCACACUCUUCUGGGCCACUGUCAUGUUUGGGACAAGACACUAUGUAUGCUAGUGGGAACCAAUUCUUGUGCUUUGUGAAGCUAACUGUAAAAAGCAUAUAUAUAUAUAUAUAUAUAUAUAUAUAUAUAUAUAUAUAUAUAUAUAUAUAUAUAUAUAUAUAUAUAUAUA
Molecule: long non-coding RNA, 1425 nt
Organism: Scylla paramamosain (green mud crab)
Lineage: Eukaryota; Metazoa; Arthropoda; Malacostraca; Decapoda; Portunidae
Exons: 4
Source: RefSeq, a predicted model, not a curated record